This 433-nucleotide ribosomal RNA is filed under the name uncultured bacterium. Its description in RNAcentral is "partial 16S ribosomal RNA". It matches the Rfam family "Bacterial small subunit ribosomal RNA", at positions 29 to 507 of the family's 1533-position model. The record is from RNAcentral.
AACGAACGCUGGCGGCAUGCCUAACACAUGCAAGUCGAACGAGACCUUCGGGUCUAGUGGCGCACGGGUGCGUAACGCGUGGGAAUCUGCCCUUCGGUUGGGAAUAACUGAGAGAAAUUUCAGCUAAUACCUUAUAAUGUCUUCGGACCAAAGAUUUAUCGCCAAGGGAUGAGCCCGCGUAGGAUUAGGUAGUUGGUGGGGUAAUGGCCUACCAAGCCGACGAUCCUUAGCUGGUCUGAGAGGAUGAUCAGCCACACUGGGACUGAGACACGGCCCAGACUCCUACGGGAGGCAGCAGUGGGGAAUAUUGGACAAUGGGCGAAAGCCUGAUCCAGCAAUGCCGCGUGAGUGAUGAAGGCCUUAGGGUUGUAAAGCUCUUUUACCCGGGAUGAUAAUGACAGUACCGGGAGAAUAAGCUCCGGCUAACUCCGUG